RNAcentral lists this unclassified non-coding RNA (206 nucleotides) under Hevea brasiliensis (rubber tree). Lineage: Eukaryota; Viridiplantae; Streptophyta; Magnoliopsida; Malpighiales; Euphorbiaceae. The record is from RNAcentral.
CCACAGCAAAAUAAAAAAAUUAUAAUCAAUAUUCAAUGAAUAUUUCAAUAAAUUAACAUCAUAUUUCAACAAUUUUCAACCAAAAAAAAUUGCAAAAUCAAACCUUACACCACUAAACUGAACCCACAAGCUAAAGAAUUACCAAAAAUUGAAGAACCCACACAAACUACCAAGAAGGCCACUUUUUUUUUUUUUCUAUCACUGUC